UGGGAAGCUAGAAUUAUUUGACCAGAUUUCUUCCGUUGAUUGAGCCAUGCACUUUGAUGCAACAGGUGUCUUAUUGCCAUUAUGCUCCUUUUCUUGUUUCAGAAAAAAUAUUAGGUUGAUGAGCCCUUCUUUGUUGAUUAGAGGACUGUAUAUACAAUGUGGUGAAUAGAGUUGUAAAUUUGUAAGUUUCUCGAAUUAAAUUAUUUGUUAUACGAUGGGUAGACUUG
This 227-nucleotide unclassified non-coding RNA is filed under the name Hevea brasiliensis (rubber tree). Lineage: Eukaryota; Viridiplantae; Streptophyta; Magnoliopsida; Malpighiales; Euphorbiaceae. The record is from RNAcentral.